UGGCGGCGCGUCUUAAGCAUGCAAGUCGAACGGCAAGAGGUAGCAAUACCUCCUAGAGUGGCGGACGUGGUGAGUAACACGUGGGUGACAUACCCUUCAGAUGGGGAUAGCUAUUAGAAAUAGUAGAUAAUACCGAAUACGAGCACGAGGGGUUAGAGAUCUGUGAGGAAAGGAGCUAAGGCUCCGCUGAAGGAAUGGCCUGCGGCCCAUUAGCUAGUUGGUGAGGUAAGAGCCCACCAAGGCGAUGAUGGGUAUCCGGCCUUAGAGGGUGAACGGACACAUUGGGACUGAGAUACGGCCCAGACUCCUACGGGAGGCAGCAACUAAGAAUAUUCCGCAAUGGACGAAAGUCUGACGGAGCGACGCCGCGUGGAUGAAGAAGGCCGGAAGGUUGUAAAAAUCCUUUUGAAACUGAAGAAUAAGCGUUGUAGGGAAUAACAGCGUGGUGACAGUAGGUUUUGAAUAAGCAACGGCUAAUUACGUGCCAGCCGCAGC
This 495-nucleotide ribosomal RNA is filed under the name uncultured bacterium. RNAcentral describes it as "bacterial SSU rRNA". It matches the Rfam family "Bacterial small subunit ribosomal RNA", at positions 37 to 518 of the family's 1533-position model. The record is from RNAcentral.